RNAcentral lists this ribosomal RNA (498 nucleotides) under uncultured bacterium. RNAcentral's name for it is "partial 16S ribosomal RNA". It matches the Rfam family "Bacterial small subunit ribosomal RNA", at positions 30 to 523 of the family's 1533-position model. The record is from RNAcentral.
AUUGAACGCUGGCGGCAUGCCUUACACAUGCAAGUCGAACGGUAACAGGUCUUCGGAUGCUGACGAGUGGCGAACGGGUGAGUAAUACAUCGGAACGUGCCUAGUAGUGGGGGAUAACUACUCGAAAGAGUGGCUAAUACCGCAUGAGAUCUACGGAUGAAAGCAGGGGAUCGCAAGACCUUGUGCUACUAGAGCGGCCGAUGGCAGAUUAGGUAGUUGGUGGGAUAAAAGCUUACCAAGCCGACGAUCUGUAGCCGGUCUGAGAGGACGAUCAGCAACACUGGGACGGAGACACGGCCCGGACUCCUACGGGAGGCAGCAGUGGGGAAUUUUGGACAAUGGGCGCAAGCCUGAUCCAGCAAUGCCGCGUGCAGGAUGAAGGCCUUCGGGUUGUAAACUGCUUUUGUACGGAACGAAAAGCCCUGGGUUAAUACCCUGGGGUCAUGACGGUACCGUAAGAAUAAGCACCGGCUAACUACGUGCCAGCAGCCGCGGUAA